RNAcentral lists this ribosomal RNA (742 nucleotides) under uncultured bacterium. Its description in RNAcentral is "bacterial SSU rRNA". It matches the Rfam family "Bacterial small subunit ribosomal RNA", at positions 8 to 796 of the family's 1533-position model. The record is from RNAcentral.
AGAGUUUGAUCAUGGCUCAGAACGAACGCUGGCGGCAUGCCUAACACAUGCAAGUCGAACGAACUCUUCGGAGUUAGUGGCGCACGGGUGCGUAACGCGUGGGAAUCUGCCCUUGGGUACGGAAUAACUCAGAGAAAUUUGUGCUAAUACCGUAUAAUGACUUCGGUCAAAAGAUUUAUCGCCCAAGGAUGAGCCCGCGUAAGAUUAGCUAGUUGGUGGGGUAAAGGCCUACCAAGGCUACGAUCUUUAGCUGGUCUGAGAGGAUGAUCAGCCACACUGGGACUGAGACACGGCCCAGACUCCUACGGGAGGCAGCAGUGGGGAAUAUUGGACAAUGGGCGAAAGCCUGAUCCAGCAAUGCCGCGUGAGUGAUGAAGGCCUUAGGGUUGUAAAGCUCUUUUACCCGGGAUGAUAAUGACAGUACCGGGAGAAUAAGCUCCGGCUAACUCCGUGCCAGCAGCCGCGGUAAUACGGAGGGAGCUAGCGUUGUUCGGAAUUACUGGGCGUAAAGCGCGCGUAGGCGGUUUUUUAAGUCAGAGGUGAAAGCCCAGUGCUCAACACUGGAACUGCCUUUGAAACUGGAAAACUUGAAUCUUGGAGAGGUCAGUGGAAUUCCGAGUGUAGAGGUGAAAUUCGUAGAUAUUCGGAAGAACACCAGUGGCGAAGGCGACUGACUGGACAAGUAUUGACGCUGAGGUGCGAAAGCGUGGUGAGCAAACAGGAUUAGAUACCCCGGUAGUCC